Molecule: long non-coding RNA, 271 nt
Filed under: Homo sapiens (human)
Lineage: Eukaryota; Metazoa; Chordata; Mammalia; Primates; Hominidae
Description: non-protein coding lnc-BCL11B-1:1
Source: RNAcentral
UCUGAGCAAGAUCCCUGGGUUCAAAUCUGAUCUUUCAUCUUGUGAAAAAUACAGAUUCCUGGGCUUCACUCCAGAUCAACUGAAUCUGUUUCCCAGGGUCAUUGUGCAUUUUUGUUGACUAUUGAUUCUCCCCUUCAUUCAACAACUGUACUGAGGCCAGAUCCCAAACUGAGCUCUGACGAGAUGGAGAAGCAAAGGACACGGUUCCUGCCCCCAAGGAGCUCCCAGACAAGCAGGAGAGAAGGUGGCUCCCAGACAAGCAGGAGAGAAG